AUUACCUUCUUGAGUUGUGGCUCAGACACUACAACAGAGCUCUGUCACCUCUUUCUAAAAGCUGGGAAAUGGUUAUUGUCAACGCCAGCCCCAUUUUGGAGGCACCUGGUUGCAGGGGACCACAGCUAGCUGGGUGCGGUGGCUCAGGACUGUAAUUCCAGCUACAUGAGAGGAUUGCCUGAGGCCAGGAGUUUGAGACCAGCCUGAACAACAUAAUAGACUGGGAGCUCCAUGAGGUCCGAGACAACCUGAAGACGCCCAGCUCAGCAGAGACUGGCUACGGCAAUCACUCAGUAACUAUUUGUUGAAUUGGACAUAAUAGAAGAGCUGAAGAAUUUUAAACAAGUCACCAUCAGUGCAGUGGAUUCCUCAAAGCAAACCUGGAAAUCUCGGCAUGAGUUGGAUUUAAGGCAGUACAUUUUCAGCUCCUGAAAAUUUGAACAGUUUCUCAAGAGAACAACUUGAAACAGAAAGGCAAGGAUGUAGAUGUGGUUGUAGAAGAUGAUGUCUGCGGCCACCAAACUGUCCACUGUGAAGACAAACCAUGCAUGUUUAGUAGGCAGUGGCUCCUCUUCCCUGUGGGGAGUCCCACUGCUUCCCUGGCCUGGGUGUUCUCUGCCGGUAGAUGUUAUUGACAAAAUAAGCAAAGUCCUCUGAUUCUGAGAAUUAGAGUUAAUGAUAGCUCUAGAUUGCCUCUGCCAUGCUAUUUAAAGUCCUGCUUUAUUGUCUGACAUGAGUUCGGCAUCUAUGAGGACUUGUCCAGUGCAAAGUACAAUCUCCACUGAAAGAUAUCACCAGCACAUCUUGUCACUGUGCUGUAGCAAGCUGGGCAGUACAAUGAUGUUGGCAGGAUCCUGUUUAGGUGGAGGAUGGCCACCUGGGCAUCAAGAAUCUUCUACCCUGAUUCCACAUUGACUCCCCAAAGUGGGCUUCAGACAGCUCUUUACUUACGUCUUCUGAUUAAAGCAGCAGACAGGGUCCCAGCUAGAGAAAAGUUCUGGGAGCAGGAGAGGUGUUGGUGGCUUUAAAACCAGGGGUGAAGAUUGAAUUAGGAGGUUAGGCAGGAGUAGGAUCAAAGACUUAGAAAAUGCUUGUUUCCUCCUAUUAUUCUUAUGAGAGCUGAUACGGGGCUUUCAGUUUUGGGGGAGAGCCUUGGAAGAGAAUGAGGGAAUUUAAUCAACUAGCGGGACCUUUCCAACUUACAUUUCCCAGUGUUUGUUGGAUGAUACGUUUGCCUAAUAAGUUAAAGCUUCCAAAAAUAGAAAGGAAAGCUUGGUGACACUAAGCUCUGGCAUGCUGUCAUCUUCUGGCUAGGGGUCUUGUGCUUCUGUUUUUCUAUUUCUGACCAAAGACAUAAAAUGUGUUGUGACCUCUCAGGUAAUGCUGUGGUAUCAUGUCCAAGCAGUAACUAACCAGAGUGGAGUUUUUACAGGUAAAAAAGUAUUGAAUAGCUCAGCAACAGGGAGGACUUAAUGAUAAAUUGCUUUUUCAGAAAAUGACAAGGGGACAGACACUUGCGGUUCUUCCAUUGAGAGCCUUAAGGAAGUUAAGCGAAGCCUCUGCUCACCCCUUCAAGUAACGAUGACCCAUCAGAUCGUGGUCAUAACCAGUAGCAUCUGAGGCACCCCUAAGCUCUCUGGGCCCCAGAUUCCUUGUUAAGUUAAAUGAGGUGACUUCCCAGUUUACCAUUCUAGGGGUUCCUGAGGAGUUAAAAAUGAAGGAGAAAAUGCAACAUGUACCAAGUGAGCAAGAGCUCAAGGCUUAUCUCUGGCACGAAAGUGACCGCUGUCCGUUAGAGAUGUGAUUGCCCUAGAUUUCCUUUAGGAAAUGCAAACAUUGAACUCUGGCCUUCAGGACCCAAGUCCCGGCUUGCAUCUAUUCUAUACACUUUCUGUUAUUUGUUAGGGCUCACAAGGAACAGUUAUUUAUCUUUUAUUUUCUAUUUUUUUUUUAGAGAUGGAGUCUCACUCUGUCUCCCAGGCUGGAGUGCAGUGGUGCCAUCUCAGCUCACUGCAACCUCCACCUCCCGGGUUCAAGCAAUUCUCCUGUCUCAGCCUCCUGAGUAGCUGGGACUACAGGCGUGUGCCAUCAUGCCCGGCUAAUUUUUAGUAUUUUUAGUAGAGGCAGGGUUUCACCAUAUUGGCCAGGCUGGUCUUGAACUCCUGAUCUCAAGUGAUCUACCCUCCUUGGCCUCCCAAACUGCUGGAAUUACAGAUGUGAGCGACCACACCUGGCCCAUUUGUUUUCUUUCAAACCCUUCUGUAAGACCAGUGCUUUAGGUGAACACGUGGACAGAACAAGAUCAUCACUAUUUUGCAAUAUGAAGACCAACUGCGCUGUGACCAGAAAAACAGAGGCAAAAUGUUGAGCUUAAUGAUACCUUUUUAUAAUUUGUAUUUGGUGUUUCUCAAUUUUCCAUUGGAUAGUUUGAGAGAUAAGUACAAGUCAAUGACAUGUUCUCUUUCGUACCCUAUUGUCUAAUCCUGCUAACACACACACACACACACACACACACACUGAUUACCUAAUUUAUCUGUUCCCCGAUUAUUACACUCUCAAUUGCUGCAGAGUCUCAGAAGCAGCAUGGUGUAACAGAAAGAAUAUGAGGCUUAGAAUCCAAAAGCCAGAGUGUGAAUUCCAGCUCCACUGACUUGCUGCGUGACUUGAAGCAAGUCAUUACGUGUCUCUGUUUACUCAUUUUAUGACUUUCCUAUUGCCUCUGUAAUAUAGCACCACAAACGUGUGGACUUAAAACAACAUGCAUUUAUUCUCUUAGCGUUCUGGAGGUCAGGAGUCUGACAUCAAUUUCGUUGGGCUAAAAUCAAGAUGUUGGUAGGACCAAGAUCCCCGUGGAGGCUCUGGGAGAACCCAUUUCCUUGCCUUUGCCAGCUUCUAAUGCUGCAUUCCUUGCAUUCCUUGAUUGUUGACCUCUUCCCCCAUCUUCAAAGCCAGCAGAACAGCACCUUGUUUCAUUGCCUUCUUUACUGUCAAAUCUCCCUCUGCCUUCUUCUUAUAAGAACACUUGUGGUUGCAUUUAGAAGCUGUGAUAAUCCAGAAUAAUAUCUUUAUCUCAAGAUCUUUGACUUGGUCUCUUCUGCAAAGUCUCUUUUGCCACAGAGGGAAAUAUUCACAGGUCCCAGGGGUCAGGCUGUGUACGUCUUUGGGGGACUUUAUUCUGCCUACCACACUCAUCUUUUUUUUUUUUUUUUUUGGAUGGAGUCUUGCUCUGUCACCCAGGCUGGAGUGCAGUGGCAUGAUCUCGGCUCACUGCAACUUCUGCCUCCCCAGUUCAAGCAAUUCUCCUGCCUCAACCUCCCAAGUAGCUGGAAUUACAGGCGCCUGCCACCACGCCCGGCUACUUUUUGUACUUUUAGUAGAGAUGGGGUUUCACUAUGUUGGCCUGGCUGGUCUUGAACUCCUGACCUCAGGUGAUUCCCCCACCUUGGCCUCCCAAAGUGCUGAGAUUACAGACGUGAGCCACCAUGCCCGGCCCCACACUCAUCUAUUAAGUAGAGCUAGGAAUUCCUAUCCUAAGGGACACAAAAAUGAAAAAAGAUAAAAUUUGUGAAGAGGCACAUAAUGAAAGCCCAUACAUGUCACUGAGUUCAGAGGAGGGUGGGUCUGACCUCCCAUUGGCUGGUCUCUGCCUGAUGGACAUCGUGAAGAAGAGAGCCAGGACUAGUGUGGCUGGGGGAUGUUCAGGGGCCAGAGUGGCUUCAGGUGCCAGCAGCCCUGGCCGAAGGAUGACUCCAGGAGCAAGGCUCAGAGCCGAGUGGAAGAAGCUUCAUAAACGCAACUGAGCCAAGCAUGAUGGGAUGUGCCUGUGGUUCCAGCUACU
RNAcentral lists this long non-coding RNA (3838 nucleotides) under Homo sapiens (human). RNAcentral describes it as "non-protein coding LINC00649:31". The record is from RNAcentral. Lineage: Eukaryota; Metazoa; Chordata; Mammalia; Primates; Hominidae.